RNAcentral lists this long non-coding RNA (665 nucleotides) under Olea europaea (common olive). RNAcentral describes it as "long non-coding RNA (OEUR_LNC001542)". Lineage: Eukaryota; Viridiplantae; Streptophyta; Magnoliopsida; Lamiales; Oleaceae. The record is from RNAcentral.
CAAAGAAACAUUUGACUCCCGAACCCAAUCACAGAUAAACUCCUACCUUAACGAAGAACUCACGAUCUGCAGAUGAAGAACCCAUGAUUUGCAAACUAACCUCGAUUUCUUGCCGAAAAUCGAAGAACCCAGAGGAAACUGAGAUUGCAAACCUAACUUAGCUUCGAUCGAGAUCGAGACUGAACAACUAUGCUGUAAACACGAAGAGACCCUUUAGAUUGCAUUAGAGAUGGUUGACACCGACCAAGAAUCGACCGCAGAAAUCGACAAAUUUGACUCCGUGGAGAUGGAUGGAGCAAAGUUCAAUGGUCACUAGGACAAUGAAUGAAAUAUUGUGAGUAAAUCGCAACAUGAUAUAAAUUUUAGUGGCCAAAGAAACAUUUGACUCCCGAACCCAAUCACAGAUAAACUCCUACCUUAACGAAGAACUCACGAUCUGCAGAUGAAGAACCCAUGAUUUGCAAACUAACCUCGAUUUCUUGCCGAAAAUCGAAGAACCCAGAGGAAACUGAGAUUGCAAACGUAACUUAGCUUCGAUCGAGAUCGAGACUGAACAACUAUGCUGCAAACACGAAGAGACCCUUUAGAUUGCAUUAGAGAUGGUUGACACCGACCAAGAAUCGACCGCAGAAAUCGACAAAUUUGACUCCACACCCACUGCACCG